Molecule: ribosomal RNA, 420 nt
Filed under: Chromatiaceae bacterium
Lineage: Bacteria; Pseudomonadati; Pseudomonadota; Gammaproteobacteria; Chromatiales; Chromatiaceae
Description: bacterial SSU rRNA
Rfam family: Bacterial small subunit ribosomal RNA
Source: RNAcentral
AACUGAAGAGUUUGAUCCUGGCUCAGAUUGAACGCUGGCGGCAUGCCUAACACAUGCAAGUCGAACGCGAAAUCACCUUCGGGUGAAAGUAGAGUGGCGGACGGGUGAGUAACGCGUGGGAAUCUGCCCAGUAGUGGGGGAUAACUCGGGGAAACUCGAGCUAAUACCGCAUACGCCCCAAGGGGGAAAGGCUUCGGCCGCUAUUGGAUGAGCCCGCGUCAGAUUAGCUAGUUGGUGGGGUAAUGGCCUACCAAGGCGACGAUCUGUAGCUGGUCUGAGAGGACGAACAGCCACACUGGGACUGAGACACGGCCCAGACUCCUACGGGAGGCAGCAGUGGGGAAUAUUGGACAAUGGGCGAAAGCCUGAUCCAGCAAUGCCGCGUGUGUGAAGAAGGCCUGCGGGUUGUAAAGCACUUUC